This 1031-nucleotide long non-coding RNA is filed under the name Bos grunniens (domestic yak). RNAcentral describes it as "lncRNA (ENSBGRG00000010867.1)". Lineage: Eukaryota; Metazoa; Chordata; Mammalia; Artiodactyla; Bovidae. The record is from RNAcentral.
GGCUCCCUCUCCCUUCCUCCCUCUGGUAUUGUGAGAUCUCAGAGCACCUUCCUUCCGAAUCGGGCAGGGGGCUUGACCAGGACCCAGGGUCAGCAGGCGGCCCGGAGGUGGGGGAGACGGGAGGGGGCCUGCUGUGGGGAUCCCGACCCCCACGGGGCCCGCGGCGGGAGGGGGAGGGCGACCCCCAGAGCGGGCGCCAGGCCCGCGGCGGAUCGAGGGGCGGCAGAGAGACUGGCCCCGCCCCGCGGACCCCGCGCGGGUCCCCAGACGGGGGGUGGCGCUGCGGGCGCCGCGCGCACUGCGGUCCCCGCGCCUCCGCCGCAGAACGCGCCACGCCCGCACGCACCUGCCGCCGCCGCCGCCGCGCCGAGCCCCGCGCCCGCGCCCCACGCCCCCGGGAGCCGCCGCGGCCCGGCCAUCGCCCGAGGUAGCCGCCGGAGCCUCCGGAGCCGCCGAGCCAAGGCUCGGGCGCCGCAUCCAGGCCUGCCUUUGAGACAACCUCUGCGGAGGCGGCGGCGCGCGGCCCGGCCCGGGGACGCCAGGCUGGGGCAGCUCCGGCCCAGCCCCGGCCUCUCCUGUGCUUCCGCCGCCAACCCCGAGCUUGCCGCCCGGGUCCUUUGGCGGCCAGCGCUCAGGCUAGCUGCCUUCCCUGGGCGCCCUGUCCUGGAGCCAUGGGGCCCACCUAGCCCCUGCCUGCCCGGAUGUCCGGGCCCCGGGACGGCUGAUCUCGGCUGCAGGGGGACCUCCUGCAACGCCCCCUGGCCAGCCUCAGAGGCCAGAGACCCUGGGUGAGCCCCUGGGCCCGACCUCUGGCCCAGGGCAGCCGCCCACACCCCCGUGCCCCUCUCCUCCUCCCCCGCCCCUUCCUCCUCCCCCGCGCACCGGACCUGAGAAGCCACUGUGGCCUCUGGGGGGGGCCCUUCCCCCCAAGCUUUUGCCCGCCUCCCCCAGGAGUCCACAGGGCAACCAGGAUGCUGUCCCCUCACUGCCCCCCCGGCCCCACCCAACGCCCCCCCCUACCCGAGCACCCA